Alexandromys fortis (reed vole) is the source of this 3836-nucleotide long non-coding RNA. RefSeq lists it as uncharacterized. NCBI's taxonomy places the organism in Eukaryota, Metazoa, Chordata, Mammalia, Rodentia, Cricetidae. The record is from RefSeq and is a predicted model, not a curated record. The transcript is spliced from 3 exons.
ACAGAUCUCCGCCUCAGCCAACCCCGAUCCCGCAGGAUUGACUGCAACCUUACUUGAAUUCCCAGCAUGAGCUCAGGACUUCAAUGGAAAUCCGAAAACGACAAAAAAUAAGGCUGAGCAACUAGGAACAGACAAGGAGCCUUCCUACUACAGAGAUCCAGCUGCUUCUGCCUCCCAGGUGCUGGGGUUAAAGAACAUUCAUCUGGCGAUGGAUGGAGAUAGAGACAGAAACCCACAUUGGAGCACCGGACUGAGCUCCCAAGGUCCACAUGAGGAACAGAAGGAGGGAGAACAUGAGCAAGGAAGUCAAGACCACGAGGGGGGCACCCACCCACUGAGACGGUGGGGCUUAUCUUUUGGGAGCUCACCAAGGCCAGCUGGACUGGGACUGAAUAAGCAUGGGCUACUGAGAAUCCAAGGACAAUGGCACUGAGUUUUGGCCCUACUGCAUGUACUGGCUUUGUGGGAGCCUAGCCAAUUUGGAUGCUCACCUUUGUAGACCUGGAUGGAGGAGGUAGGACCUUGGACUUCCCACAGGGCAGGGAACCCUGACUGCUCUUUGGACUGGAGAGCGAGGGGGAGGAGGGAGGGAGGUGUGGGGAGUGGGGGGAGAGGGAGGGAAAAGGGAGGCGGGGAGGAGACGGAAAUUUUUAAUAACAAAAAAUUUAAUAAAAAAGAAUCUAAAAAAGAAAAUAAAUAAAAAAUAAAAGGCAGUAAUAAGCCUGAGAUUUUGACUGAGCAUUUAUCAUUAAUAUAACUCUCAGUGAGUUUAUUUGAGAGCACAAAAAUGUAGUCAGGAGCAACUUAUUGGUAACUGCCUUUUCUCCAGUGACUUUUGCUUGCUGGCAGUGAGCAGAGGUAUGACUCCUUUAGGAGACAGUUACCUGAAAUGGCAAAAAAUGGGCAACUCCCUUGAGAGGCUCUGCUACUAAACUCUUAAGUGGUGUGUGUGAAUGGUGGAUGAGAUGCUACUUGGUGGCUAUGUACACCCAGAAUUUUCCUAGAGUUAGGGUGAUAACAUAGUUUCCAGAGCUGGUGAUAAACAUACAUCAGCCAUGAGACUAGGAUCUCAGGGAAGCAAGCAGGUGGAGUCAGCCACAAGAGCUGCCAGUGAAAAGUCACUUAGCAGUUUAAAGGUUGACUUGUGUGGUCAGAAAAAAAUAAAGAUAUAUAAUAAAAUGAGAAUCAGAUUGAAAAACAAUGUCUAAAUGUGCCAUGGUAUUUAAAAAUAUAUGUAAGCUUAAGAAAGAAAAUAAACUGAGUAUAGAAAGUCACAGAAAGAAUAGUUUAAAGUUAUAAAGUCUUUAAAAAGAGAUGUACAAUAAUAAAAAAGAUUAAGUCAUACAGAGAUGGGAAAUACACAGGGAGUCUGGAUAAGGUAUGUUAUUAUAUUAAUUUUGAAUUUUUUUGAAUUCUAAUGAGCAAAAGACAGUUGCUAGGGGCAUGGAAUUGUGAACAGGACUGCAAAUUUUAAAUUUCGGGCUAUUCUAAAUUUAAAAACAAAAUAAAGAUAUACUUGUCAAAAAUCAAAAAUGUUUUAGAGAAGAGUAUUUGCUUUUGUUCCCACAGGAAAGAAGAAUCUGUGCAUUCCUUCAGGAAUAAUAUUUAUCAGGUUUGAUCAUGGAAGUCCUCAUGAAUCUUGCAUAUGAUAUAUAUAAGUUUACUGCUUAUCUUUCUAGCACUUGGUCAUUGUCUCAAAUGUUGUUAAACACCCUAGAGAUGUCUUUAACAGAUAACAAAAAGCAAUUUGGAGAACAUGAUGCCCAUGUUCCCAAGAGGUGUAGGGGAGGCAUUUUGUUAUUUGGUGGCCUAUGGAUGUUUGUUAUCAAUUAGGGAAAUAUACCAUAUUGAUGUAAAUUUAAGUAAAUUUUGUGUCAUGGCACAUAUGUUUCUACUGUUGUUUAAGUUGUUAUACAUUUGCAGUUCAUUAAAAAAUAAAAGCUAAAGUUCUAGUUUUUGAAAGUUAUUAUAAAAUAUUUAGUGUAAUCAACAAAUACAAGUUGUAGUUAGUCAUUUACAAAAAUCAUACCUGUAGAUAAUGUUAGGUAUGUUUUCAAGAUCAUGUAAUGAUAUAUUUUAGACAGAUAAAAGAUUUUCAAGCACUUCAAAGAUCUACAGAAUAUGAUAUGAAAUCUUUUGAUAACAUAAGGUUUUUCAUGACAAUGAAACACAUCUUCUCCUGGUAGCAUCAAUUUACUUCAGAGAAGGUAAUGGGCAUCAAUUCAACUCUGUAGGCAUUUGCUUUUUUUUUUUGUAGCAAGAUUAGUAAUUUUGACAAGAAACUACUUUUGCCUUGACUGCUUGACUGCAUGCUCUAUAAAAUGGACAUGCUAGACCCAUAGGAAAAAGAUUGCUGAACUUGGCCAAAAUACGGCAAGAUAUACUUUCAAGAUUCCUGCUUCAUAGAAAUGUCUGCUAGACAGACAUUCUGCAGGACACAUAGGAUAAUAUAUGUUGAACUUUUCCAAUACAAGGCAUAAUAGUCCUUUGGGAUUCCUCCGUCAUAAAAGAAUCUGUCAGACAUUCUGCAGGACACAAAGGAAAACAAUUGAUGAACUUUGCUAAUACAAGACAGGAAGGUCCUUCAAAUUUUUUGCAUCACAGAAAAGUCUGCCAGAUACUCUAAGAUGGUGUACUGGAGAUGGAUGCCCCAAUGUUACAGAGAAAUUUGACUGUCCAGAAAGCAAGAUAUCCUGUCAUUAAGUAACAUAUCAUCCUUCUGGGGCCUUUGAUGAAGUUGUAGAUUAGAUUGUCUUAAUUAUAACUUUCCUCAGUUACAAUGAAUAAAUUAAGUAUAAAAUUUUAGAAGCACCAAGACAAAAUAGAUGAGGGAAUAUUUUAUCUAAUUUUUGCCAAAUACAAAUUGACUAGACAUUGUACCUGUAAUUCUUAAUAACUGUCUUUGUUGUUUAUAAUCUUACUAUGUUAAAGUUAAACCUUCCAUUUUAAUUAGACAAAAAGUGAGAAAUGCUGUGGAAUAAUCUUUUUGUACACUGUAAAUAUGUAUUACUGUCAUUGACUUAAUAAAGAAGUUGACUGACUAAUAGCUGAAAAUGAUAGAGAUAGGUAGGAGACUGAAACUAAGAAUGAGGAAAAGAAGAAGGGUGGAGUCAGAGGAGUCAUCAGCAAAAGCUGAGGGAGCAGAAGACAAAUGUGCUAUGCUAGUAAAGAUGCCACCAUGUGGCAGAAUGUAAUAACAAUUAUGCAUUAAUUUAAAAUGUUUGAGCUGGUUAGCAAUAAACCUGAGCUUUUGACUGAGGAUUUGUAAUUAAUAUAAGCCUUGGUGUGUUUAUUUGAUAGUUUCUGGAAGGACCUAAACUUCCAUCUAUAUAAAUGAAACCAGAAAAAAAAUCCAAAGUUACAUAGGAUCCCUAGGUUUAUUGUACUAACAAGAAAAGCAGAUGUGACUGCACAGACUCCACAAACCACCAGAGGACCUAGUGACUUAAUUAGGAGUAAUGUGGAAGCCAAGAUUUGAAAUUCAGAAGUAAAAUUGGGGGAUAAUAUAUAGAAUCCCAGAAAGUUAAAUCUAUAUUCCUCUUUGAAUUAAUACGUUGUCUAUCUGAAAAUUGACCAAUAUGAACAUCCCUAAAGAUUUCCAUAGUGAUGAUGAUUUCAUUAUGAUUAGAGAGAGAACAGAGAGGGUAUUUCUGUCCUCUUCCUUUCUUUGACAAUUUUUGAUUUAUUUUUUUUAGACUAGAAAGAAGAAAUUUACAAAUAUGCUAACAGACAUCAAUUUUCUUGUAGUUUCUGAGUCACAAUAUCAUAUUGUUUUGCUUGUCUUUUUUUAUCAUGUCCUUGAGGAAUUGAAAAGUGCUACUAAAGAAAUAACAAAA